This 120-nucleotide ribosomal RNA is filed under the name Pteropus alecto (black flying fox). The record is from RNAcentral. Lineage: Eukaryota; Metazoa; Chordata; Mammalia; Chiroptera; Pteropodidae.
CUUUAUAGGCCAUACCACCCUGAACACACCUAAUCUCGUUUGAUCUUGGAAGCUAAGCAGACUCAGGUCUGGUUAGUACUUGGAUGAGAAACCACCUAGGAAGAUCGGGUGCUGUAGGUG